UGUUAAGAAGUGCAACUGCCUA
This 22-nucleotide non-coding RNA is filed under the name Arabidopsis thaliana (thale cress). The record is from RNAcentral. Lineage: Eukaryota; Viridiplantae; Streptophyta; Magnoliopsida; Brassicales; Brassicaceae.